RNAcentral lists this transfer RNA (73 nucleotides) under Bos taurus (domestic cattle). It matches the Rfam family "tRNA". Rfam says of the family: Transfer RNA (tRNA) molecules are approximately 80 nucleotides in length. Their secondary structure includes four short double-helical elements and three loops (D, anti-codon, and T loops). Further hydrogen bonds mediate the characteristic L-shaped molecular structure. tRNAs have two regions of fundamental functional importance: the anti-codon, which is responsible for specific mRNA codon recognition, and the 3' end, to which the tRNAs corresponding amino acid is attached (by aminoacyl-tRNA synthetases). tRNAs cope with the degeneracy of the genetic code in two manners: having more than one tRNA (with a specific anti-codon) for a particular amino acid; and 'wobble' base-pairing, i.e. permitting non-standard base-pairing at the 3rd anti-codon position. Lineage: Eukaryota; Metazoa; Chordata; Mammalia; Artiodactyla; Bovidae. The record is from Rfam by way of RNAcentral. RNAcentral also lists the same sequence under 5 other names.
UCCUUGGUGGUCCAGUGGUUAGGACUCUGAACUCCCACUAUCAGAGGUGUGAGUUCAAUCCCUGCACAGGGAA